UGUUGGUUUUAACUGUUUUAAUUUCAAAACCAUUUCAAAAAUUUUGUUUUUUCUUAAACGUUAACAGUUAUUGUUUAAGAGGCCAAUUCACUUUUACUUCAGCAAGAUGAGACCUUGGAUUAUUCUCUUGGUACUUGUGAUAAUGGUAACGUUUGUCCAAGGAUGGCUUUUCAAGGGUAAAUACCGCAAUUGUAAUUGCAAAGCAUAUGACGCCAGCAGUCGUGAAUUAGUGAAGGAUUUUGGUGUAGUAUCGUCAUGUAAAGGCUGGCCAAAAUGUGCUUGCAAACGUGCUGAAAUGAUCAAAUGUGCUGACACCUGCGAUCAUGUGGUAGCUCAGUGGGUCUGCAAUCAUAAGACAGAAUGCGAAGCUAGAAGCGACAGGAUAAAAAAAUACUACGAUGCUGGAGGAUGUAGCAGUGGAUAUGGCCAUGAGAGUAGAAAAUGCGGCGACUGCAGUACCCUCGGAUAAUUUUUAGAGAAUAAAAGUAAUGAAAGAUA
This is a long non-coding RNA of Mytilus californianus (California mussel), 498 nucleotides long. RefSeq lists it as uncharacterized. NCBI's taxonomy places the organism in Eukaryota, Metazoa, Mollusca, Bivalvia, Mytilida, Mytilidae. The transcript is spliced from 3 exons. The record is from RefSeq and is a predicted model, not a curated record.